This 253-nucleotide ribosomal RNA is filed under the name uncultured bacterium. RNAcentral describes it as "partial 16S ribosomal RNA". It matches the Rfam family "Bacterial small subunit ribosomal RNA", at positions 524 to 776 of the family's 1533-position model. The record is from RNAcentral.
UACGGGGGGGGCAAGCGUUGUUCGGAAUUACUGGGCGUAAAGGGUUCGUAGGUGGCCAACUAAGUCAGACGUGAAAUCCCUCAGCUUAACUGGGGAACUGCGUCUGAUACUGAUUGGCUUGAGUGCAGGAGAGGAACGCGGAAUUCCAGGUGUAGCGGUGAAAUGCGCAGAUAUCAGGAAGAACACCCGUGGCGAAGGCGGCUCUCUGGGACGUGACUGACGCUGAGACGCGAAAGCGUGGGGAGCAAACAGG